UCUCAUGGCCCUUAUGGGUAGGGCUUCACACGUCAUACAAUGGUCGGGACAGAGGGUUGCCAACCCGCGAGGGGGAGCUAAUCCCAGAAACCCGAUCGUAGUCCGGAUUGCAGUCUGCAACUCGACUGCAUGAAGUCGGAAUCGCUAGUAAUCGCGGAUCAGCAUGUCGCGGUGAAUACGUUCCCGGGUCUU
This 192-nucleotide ribosomal RNA is filed under the name uncultured Achromobacter sp. Its description in RNAcentral is "partial 16S ribosomal RNA". It matches the Rfam family "Bacterial small subunit ribosomal RNA", at positions 1191 to 1382 of the family's 1533-position model. Lineage: Bacteria; Pseudomonadati; Pseudomonadota; Betaproteobacteria; Burkholderiales; Alcaligenaceae. The record is from RNAcentral.